Molecule: non-coding RNA, 156 nt
Organism: Cyanistes caeruleus (blue tit)
Lineage: Eukaryota; Metazoa; Chordata; Aves; Passeriformes; Paridae
Source: RefSeq, a predicted model, not a curated record
UCUCAUUCCACAAAAUGUUCUGAUUUGUGAAGAUAAUCGUGAAUGUUGAUGCCAUUAGCAAUUCUAUUUUGAAGAAGAAGAGGGAGAUCUGUCUGCAUCACAGAUCUGCAGAAGCACUCACCUCUGAAGGACAAACUACCAUGUCCCUUAUGCUGC